RNAcentral lists this ribosomal RNA (253 nucleotides) under uncultured bacterium. RNAcentral describes it as "partial 16S ribosomal RNA". It matches the Rfam family "Bacterial small subunit ribosomal RNA", at positions 524 to 776 of the family's 1533-position model. The record is from RNAcentral.
UACAGAGGUCUCAAGCGUUGCUCGGAAUCACUGGGCGUAAAGGGUGCGUAGGCGGGUCUUUAAGUCAGGGGGGAAAUCCUGGAGCUCAACUCCAGAACUGCCUUUGAUACUGAGGAUCUUGAGUCCGGGAGAGGUGAGUGGAACUGCGAGUGUAGAGGUGAAAUUCGUAGAUAUUCGCAAGAACACCAGUGGCGAAGGCGGCUCACUGGCCCGGUACUGACGCUGAGGCACGAAAGCGUGGGGAGCAAACAGG